Long non-coding RNA from Ylistrum balloti, 511 nucleotides. RefSeq lists it as uncharacterized. Lineage: Eukaryota; Metazoa; Mollusca; Bivalvia; Pectinida; Pectinidae. The record is from RefSeq and is a predicted model, not a curated record. The transcript has 2 exons.
AGAUAUGGUGAUUAAUCAGUACUUCAGAGGUAUGCUGUCUACAUGGGAUUUCUCAGCUGCUGGUGAAAUUACUACAGGUGCUAAACAUGCUGAAGUAAUUUCUUGAACUUUGACCUGUAAAAUUCUCUGAUGGAUUUUGGAUUAGUGCGUGUUUUUGUCUACCUCGUCAUCUCCACUAUAAUACUAUACUGGUGAACAGUUUACCUCAAUUUUCAUUGAUGUGGAACCCACAACUUGGCGUUUUAAUCUACCGAUCAAGUCAUCGGACGCUGGUAAAUAUGUUUUUGGGGUUCAGUUAUUCAUGUUUCUUACCCACUCUGAUUUAAUGAAGUUCCUGCUUUUCAGUUCAAUGUCAGAAAUACAAAGAAAAAUGCAAAUGGUAAAUGUUUGGUGUGAUAUUGAUUGGUAACUCUUACAUUGGACAAAUAAAGGAGAAAGGAGACGCAUCUGAAGUUGGAUUUCAGCAUUUACUGUUCUUGUUGAAAUAAAUCUUUCAUAUUUUAUAUAUAAA